RNAcentral lists this unclassified non-coding RNA (312 nucleotides) under Camellia sinensis. Its description in RNAcentral is "partial external transcribed spacer". Lineage: Eukaryota; Viridiplantae; Streptophyta; Magnoliopsida; Ericales; Theaceae. The record is from RNAcentral.
GAAUUCGGUCCGUAUCGUGUGCCUAUCUUCUCCUCGCCACCUCGUGGCGCUGGGGGAACCCCAAAGUAUCUCCCGUGUUCCGUGCUGUCCUCUCACGUUGCCGUGUCGGUGGCAUUGCCCGCGGGCAGUUAUGCUCGUGCUCUCGGAUUCGGAGCCUUGUGCGGGUACACGGGGUCUUCGACCUCCGUUUUCCCGCCAAGCGUUCGUCGCUCGUUGCGGGCUACAGCCGCGCCUGCGUCUGACCGUACCGGCUCUGUCGGUCGGGCUUAUGCAGCGCCGGCGUCGGAAAAAAGGAAUGCUACCUGGUUGAUC